RNAcentral lists this ribosomal RNA (300 nucleotides) under uncultured bacterium. RNAcentral describes it as "bacterial SSU rRNA". It matches the Rfam family "Bacterial small subunit ribosomal RNA", at positions 1057 to 1382 of the family's 1533-position model. The record is from RNAcentral.
AGCUCGUGUCGUGAGAUGUUCGGUUAAGUCCGGCAACGAGCGCAACCCCUGUCUUUAGUUGCCAUCAUUUAUUGGGAACUCUAAAGAGACUGCCGGUGAUAAGCCGGAGGAAGUGGGGACGACGUCAAGUCCUCAUGGCCCUUACGGGAUGGGCUACACACGUGCUACAAUGGCAGUGACAAUGGGUUAACCCCAAAAAACUGUCUCAGUUCGGAUUGGAGUCUGCAACUCGACUCCAUGAAGUCGGAAUCGCUAGUAAUCGCGUAACAGCAUGACGCGGUGAAUACGUUCCCGGGCCUU